RNAcentral lists this ribosomal RNA (253 nucleotides) under uncultured bacterium. RNAcentral describes it as "partial 16S ribosomal RNA". It matches the Rfam family "Bacterial small subunit ribosomal RNA", at positions 524 to 776 of the family's 1533-position model. The record is from RNAcentral.
UACGUAGGGGGCAAGCGUUGUCCGGAAUCAUUGGGCGUAAAGCGCGUGUAGGCGGCCCGAAAAGUCUGGUGUGAAAACUUGAGGCUCAACCUCAAGCUGUCACUGGAUACUGUCGGGCUUGAGUCUGGAAGAGGAGAGUGGAAUUCCUGGUGUAGCGGUGGAAUGCGCAGAUAUCAGGAGGAACACCAAUGGCGAAGGCAGCUCUCUGGUACAUGACUGACGCUGAGACGCGAAAGCGUGGGUAGCAAACAGG